GUAUUAAAAAUUAAGCUUCUAACUUAAAUUUAAAGCGUAAAUCGUUUAUACUUUU
RNAcentral lists this transfer RNA (55 nucleotides) under Cassidinae sp. N35. Its description in RNAcentral is "tRNA-Ser". The record is from RNAcentral. Lineage: Eukaryota; Metazoa; Arthropoda; Insecta; Coleoptera; Chrysomelidae.